UGCCGUAUGGACAACCCUUUAUCUACUAUUAGUUGUCAGAGAUUACAAAGGUGAUAAAUAAAAUACAUAAUCCAUUAUGAUUUGUUUUGAAGAGUCAAAAGAUUCAAAAUAAUAUAAAUAAUGGCAGCAGUAGUAUACCGCUGUUCAAAAAUCGAUUAAGCAUAUACAAACUUUAAAACACUCAAAUGCAAUAAAAAUAUUAUUGCUUUAAAGAUCGUUGCGGGGAUAAUUAAAGGAUCUCGAUUAAUAUACACGUAAGCGACAUCGUAUUGUAAUACGAUUGCAUAGUGUAGUUAAGUAGUGGUAACUAACUUAAGUAUGGCCGAACGUUAGUAUCAUUUGUAUACAUACGACCCAAUGGUGAUUGAGUAACCUCGUCCAGCAGUAAAACUCUUGCUGAAUGAGGAAGGGAGUCUUUUGGCUGCGGAGUAUAUACAUACGCAAAAACGUCAAACCUGAGAGGGAAAUUAAAUUAGAAGAGCAUACAUUAGUUCAGUAAAAACUUUUCAAAAAAAAACUUCCCCUCCUGUUUUCAUCCUGGAUAUGAAUAUUAUUUUGUUACAGAGAUGUCAAUUUACGAAGACAUAUCGAUAGUGGAAGCCGUGACAUUUUUGCUCGUGCCUAACUUUUAUGAUCAUCAACUAUUGAGUUAUAUCGUUUUUCUUUUUCAGAGAACUUCUCUUAUGUGUGUUAUUGACAUCAUCAAAGUAUAAAGUGUUGCCACUAAAACCAAUUUGAGAGAUCGUCUAAACUUGCAUUUGGAUGAGUGUUCUUGGUCGCUCCUGAGAGCUUCACUUAAGUCAAGUUUCAAUUUGAUGAGUAAUAAUGUAUCUCUGUAUUGACAUAUUUGCAUCAGUGUUAAAGCGUGUAUGUCACUUUACUUGUCUUUUGUUUUUUCUUUCCUUUUUGUUGAAUUACUUUGGUUUUACAUAUGCGUGUAGUAAUUGUAUGUCUGCAAUCAGGUUUACUAGAACCAUUACAAACAAGAAAAAAGGCUCAUUUUUACAUCGUUUCGUUUCUUGCAUGGAUACACUGUUUUAGUUCGAUAAAUAUUCUUUUCAACAUAAGCUAAAAUAUCAUAAAAUACGAUAAAUGUUGGUUAAGUGCAUUGCUUGCAAAACUGCAGUAAAAUACAUAGGACAACUAGAUUUCAGAAGAGAAAGUGUCGCUCACCUUGGUUUAUGUGCAUAUCAAACUAAGGACAUUCUCCAACAUUGUAGACGAAAAUAGACCAGGGAAAAGUCAAUUUUGUUGAUCUUGUAUUACUGAUAAUUUUGUCUGAUUAGUUUCCGUCUUUAGUGUUUGCUUAAACAUAAAAGAGGCUUAAACAAUUCCUUAUUCAAGGGCAAUCACUCCUACGAAGAGGUACAUUCUACUAACUAUAUAGGCAGAAUUUGACUUUUUAAUAAAUCUUGCCUAGCUGAUCAUUUUUUUUUUUUUGUGAUUUAAAGUGUGAUUUAUCUAUUAUAAUUUUAUUAAAUUAUAUAAGGCAUAACGGACAAAAUUGUUUCUCUCUAAAUCUCAGAUUUCAUGCUGAAUUUCAAAUUUUAAAAAAAUGAUGAAAAAAUACAUUCAUAGGCAAUAACUCCUAUAAGAAUUUGUCGAACAGUUUUGACGUAUAAGACUAUUGGUUGAGCUCAUUAUUCUGAACAUCUUUGCUCCUUUCAGGUUUCUCUAUUUUUUUAUUUAAAACGCUUCCCAAAAUAAUAGACAUAACUUGCAUUUUACCGCUAUGUUCUAGUUUUAGCUAUGUCGGUUUUGUUGUUUGGUAGGCGGGGUCAUCGGACACAUUUUAAAAUUAGAUACCCUAAUGAUGAUAUUGUCCAAGUAAAGGGCAAUUUGCUAGAAAUUAUUCCUGUUUACAAUUUAUCUUACCUAAACAUGUAAAAAUAUUCAAGAUAAUAACCAAAAACUGCAAAAUGUUCUUAAAAUUACCAAUUUAGUGGCAGCAACCCAACAACAGGUUGUCUGAUUUGUCUGAAAAUUUCAGGGCAGAGAGCUUUUAACAUUAUGAGAUGUUAAAUUUGCUAAAUGUUUUAGUUUUAGAGGUAUAAGCCAAAAUCUGUAUUUCACAUCUCGAUACCCUAAUGAUGAUUCUGGCCAAAAUUGAUUAAAUUUUUCUCAAUGGUUUCAGAAGAGAAGAUU
RNAcentral lists this long non-coding RNA (2145 nucleotides) under Mytilus galloprovincialis (Mediterranean mussel). Lineage: Eukaryota; Metazoa; Mollusca; Bivalvia; Mytilida; Mytilidae. The record is from RNAcentral.